ACAGCAGCCGCCACGGUAAUACGGAGGGGGCUAGCGUUGUUCGGAAUUACUGGGCGUAAAGCGCACGUAGGCGGCUUGGUAAGUUAGAGGUGAAAGCCCGGAGCUCAACUCCGGAAUUGCCUUUAAGACUGCCGAGCUAGUAGGUGAGAGAGGUAAGUGGAAUUCCGAGUGUAGAGGUGAAAUUCGUAGAUAUUCGGAAGAACACCAGUGGCGAAGGCGGCUCACUGGCUCAUACUGGACGCUGAGGUGCGAAAGCGUGGGGAGCAAACAGGAUUAGAUACCCCCGUAGUCCCUGUCUCUUAUAC
This 305-nucleotide ribosomal RNA is filed under the name uncultured bacterium. RNAcentral's name for it is "partial 16S ribosomal RNA". It matches the Rfam family "Bacterial small subunit ribosomal RNA", at positions 508 to 807 of the family's 1533-position model. The record is from RNAcentral.